RNAcentral lists this ribosomal RNA (1022 nucleotides) under gut metagenome. RNAcentral's name for it is "bacterial SSU rRNA". It matches the Rfam family "Bacterial small subunit ribosomal RNA", at positions 380 to 1404 of the family's 1533-position model. The record is from RNAcentral.
AGUCUGAACCAGCCAAGUCGCGUGAGGGAAGACUGCCCUAUGGGUUGUAAACCUCUUUUAUAAGGGAAGAAUAAGUUCUACGUGUAGAAUGAUGCCUGUACCUUAUGAAUAAGCAUCGGCUAACUCCGUGCCAGCAGCCGCGGUAAUACGGAGGAUGCGAGCGUUAUCCGGAUUUAUUGGGUUUAAAGGGUGCGUAGGCGGUUUAUUAAGUUAGUGGUUAAAUAUUUGAGCUAAACUCAAUUGUGCCAUUAAUACUGGUAAACUGGAGUACAGACGAGGUAGGCGGAAUAAGUUAAGUAGCGGUGAAAUGCAUAGAUAUAACUUAGAACUCCGAUAGCGAAGGCAGCUUACCAGACUGUAACUGACGCUGAUGCACGAGAGCGUGGGUAGCGAACAGGAUUAGAUACCCUGGUAGUCCACGCCGUAAACGAUGCUCACUGGUUCUGUGCGAUAUAUUGUACGGGAUUAAGCGAAAGUAUUAAGUGAGCCACCUGGGGAGUACGUCGGCAACGAUGAAACUCAAAGGAAUUGACGGGGGCCCGCACAAGCGGAGGAACAUGUGGUUUAAUUCGAUGAUACGCGAGGAACCUUACCUGGGUUUAAAUGGGAAAUGCCGUAUUUGGAAACAGAUAUUCUCUUCGGAGCGUUUUUCAAGGUGCUGCAUGGUUGUCGUCAGCUCGUGCCGUGAGGUGUCGGGUUAAGUCCCAUAACGAGCGCAACCCUUACCGUUAGUUGCUAGCAUGUAAUGAUGAGCACUCUAACGGGACUGCCACCGUAAGGUGAGAGGAAGGCGGGGAUGACGUCAAAUCAGCACGGCCCUUACACCCAGGGCUACACACGUGUUACAAUGGCCGGUACAGAGGGCCGCUACCAGGUGACUGGAUGCCAAUCUCAAAAGCCGGUCGUAGUUCGGAUUGGAGUCUGUAACCCGACUCCAUGAAGUUGGAUUCGCUAGUAAUCGCGCAUCAGCCAUGGCGCGGUGAAUACGUUCCCGGGCCUUGUACACACCGCCCGUCAAGCCA